RNAcentral lists this small RNA (28 nucleotides) under Bombyx mori (domestic silkworm). Its description in RNAcentral is "ovarian small RNA-38431". Lineage: Eukaryota; Metazoa; Arthropoda; Insecta; Lepidoptera; Bombycidae. The record is from RNAcentral.
UUUGUGCAGCGACCGGCGCAUGCGCGUU